GAAGUACUUCCUCCGUUCAAAAAUACUUGUCAUCAAAAUGGAUAAAAGGAGAUGUAUCUAGAACUAAAAUACAUCUAGAUACAUCCUCUUUUAUCUAUUUUGAUGACAAGUAUUUUUGGAAGGUGGGAGUAUGUA
Triticum aestivum (bread wheat) is the source of this 135-nucleotide non-coding RNA. The record is from Rfam. NCBI's taxonomy places the organism in Eukaryota, Viridiplantae, Streptophyta, Magnoliopsida, Poales, Poaceae.